AUGCCCAGAACUUCUGAAAUCGUGGAAAAACCCCAUGUCUGCGUCUGCACCAUCACUUCAAAUGAUCUAAAGCCCAAACACCACGUCCGAUUCAAACCAGCAUCUCUUCUCCCAUGGGGCUGUCCUGUCAGUCAUCCGGGUCCGGGAGAAGAAGCCGAUGCUUUGAACAGACCUCCUCCAACCCGGCCUCUCUGCCGGUCACUCCCUUCUCGGCUCCCUUCUCUGGUCCCCUGCCGGCUCCCUCUCAGGUCUCUGGGCCCGCCGGCCUCUCGGCAGGCUGGGCACAUGGGUGGAGGGCAGGAAGCUGGGGAGACGCCUGGCCAGGGCCUGCGGGAAGGGCCAAGCCCCACUAGGGGCCAAGGGGCUCAGGGAAUCCGAGCAGAAAGCUCACUCAAAACGCCUGAACCCCCAGCCCUGUCCGGCUCCUUCCUGCCUGUACCCAGCCUCAAGUCUGUGCAGUAUCAGGAAGCCCCUGGCACUCCCGGCCGUCAGCCCAGCCCUGUCUGCCUCCUAUCCCUCACCCUUCCCUACUGCCUGCCCCUCACCUCCAUUGGAGGUCUCUCCCCAGCAUCAGGGUCUGGAAGUUUCCCUCCCAUGUUCAUCUUCCCAGCCAUCAAAGCACAUCUGUCCUGCUUGCUGGUAAAAUGAAGACACCCCUCCAAGGGCACCUCCAGACCCCCCUUCCCCAGCUCAGCCCUGACUCUGACACAGGAGGGCUCACCUGGCUGGUCAAGUGCUCUAUUUGGGAAGGAGUUUCCAUUAUUUAGAAACUCACCUUGGAGAACCGCAUGUUUCCUGCCAAAGCUGGGUAGGAAAGGGUUUGAUGUUGUUGGUGUUGUGGUUUAGCCACUAAGCCGUGUCCGAUUCUUUGCGACCCCAUGGACUGUAGCCCACCAGGCUCCUCUGUCCAUGGGAUUCUCCAGGCAAGAAUACUGGAGUGGAUUGCCAUUUCCUUCUCCAGGGGACCCUCCCCAACCAGGGAUCGAACCUGCAGCUCCUGCACUGGCAUGCGGACUCUUUACCACUGAGCCAGGAAAGGGCUUGGUACUAAGUCAAUAGCAGUUAAAGAAUCAUCGCUGAUUUUUGGAUAAGGAGGAAUCACCCUUCUAAUCCUUACUGGUGAAAGUAUUUCUAGAAAUGUCUUCCCACGUCUCCCAUCUUUGAGAAGAACAGGUGGGCAGGAUUUACCUGACGGAAGCCCACGGUUUCUGUAAAGCAAAGGAGCCUCCACUUCAAACAGCCCAAGCCAGAGCAACCCAUCCCAGAGCCAGACCCGCUUCUGUGUGGAAGGGAGCCUUUGGCCUUGCUGCAUUGCCCCUCAUGUUCUGCCCUCCUUUUCCCCUCCUGAGGGGGUCUCACACCCAAUAUGGUUCGUGGAAAAGUCCGUUUGUUGGUCCCAGUUAUUUAGAGGGUCGUGCACCAUCCCCAGGCUUCCCUGGUGGCUCAGAGGUAAAGAACCAGCCUGUAAGGCAGGAGUUGCGGAAGACGCAGGUUCGAUCCCUGGGUUGGGAAGAUCUCCUGGAGGAGGACAUGCAACCCACUCCAGUAUUCUUGCCUGGAGAACCCCAUGGGGGUCGCAAAGAAUCAGAUGACUGAAGUGACUUAGCACGCACGCACACACGCACGCCACACCCUAAUUCAGGAGAACAUUCCGUCUGUUUCUUUAUGACCCUUUCCCGAGCACGGCCCACCCUGUUCCUCCUUCCACAGUGGGUGUCUCAGAACACCCCAAAUGCCCAUAAGCGUCAGCCCCAAGUUUCCUUCCAGUCGUGAAAACGUGACUCUGAACAUGACUGAGUCAACACAGCUGUCUGUCCAGAAGGAUGUAGGCUGUGUGGGGUACGAGUCUGCUGAGUUGCCCUGAUUCCGUGUCUGGUUCUCAAGCCGGUAAGACCCUGUUCUGGGAGCCCUGGGCCCAGAAAAGAAGGAAGAGCCAGCUGGGGGCCAGCGCUGACCCCCAAUUCCCUGGCCCUGGGUGGCCUGGACCACUAACCUUCCAGGUGCUGCCUGCGGACUCCUGCCCGGGUCUCUGUUCUCUUAUUUCUGGGACCCGCCCAGCAAGGCUCUAAGGAGCUGGAGCCAUGAUCACAGGCAGAUGGCAGACACCCUGAGAAGCAGACACGAGAGAGUGAAAUGCCAGCACACACCUCGCCCGCGGAGUAAAAUCUGAACAGAAAGCCAGGUCAGGGUUUGCUUUUCUCCUGCCUUCUCCCCACCUCCCACUGGGCUGUAUCUUAGGAGGAAAGAUGCCAAAGGAACCCGAGGAAAGAAUUAAGAUUCAGGGAGAACCAGGCCACUGUGACCCUCAGAGGACACCCAGGUGACCCACCCGAGGGCGUCAACUGUCCGCGUGGGACAGGAGGGGAGCAGGGGGGCCUGGGCGUCCCUGUCACCAACGACAGACAGAGAAGGGGCCGGACGGGAGUCGCAGGGGAACUGCGUGAACACAACAGAACCCAGAGCCCUCCAGCCUCAAUUUCCUGUUGAAAAACCAGACUGAACAGACCCAGAGAACUCAGAAAACCAGGUCAUUUCUAGGUCUCUCGUGGAGAGGUUCUGCCAGGCUCAGCCGGGACACCCACAACUGACUCCCACCUAGAGGGAGGGGCCUGCUGCUUAUUGAGCAUUAUUACCUGCCUGGGCUUCCCAGACGGUGCGGGUGGUAAAGAACCCACCUGCCAGUGCAGGAGACCUAAGAGAUGUGGGUUCAAUCCCUGGGCGGGGAAGAUCCCCUCGAAAAGGAAAUGGCAACUCAUUCCAGUAUCCUCUCCUGGAGGGCUGCGGGGCCUUAAGUUGCUCAUGGGAAAGAAGUCUGGUCCAGGCAGACACAGGGCUGAAGGAGGAGGGGCAGCUGGCUCCUCCAGCAAGUCCUUGGCCUGUAGGUCCUGCCUCAGUUUCUUGCUAAGUCAUGCCCAUGAUGGGAGCCAAGAUAGGACCCCAUAGUGGGAGACAGGGCCCACAUAGCACCGGAAGGAGGAGGCGGCAACUGUGGAGUCCGAGAGCCUGAGUUUGACCCUGCUUUGCCACGUACUAGCCACUCAACCUCAGUAAAUGAUUCAAGUUCACAGAGCUCCAGUUUCCUCAUGGGUAAAAUGAGGCCAAAAUUGUCAUGAGAUUUAAUAUCACAUAUAUCCAAGAAAAUGUCAAACACGGUUCCUGGCACCUAAUCAGUUCAGUUCAGUUCAGUUGCUGAGUCGUGUCCGACUCUUUGCAACCCCAUGGACUGCAGCACGCCAGGCCUCCCUGUCCAUCACCAACUCCCAGAGUUCACCCAAACUCAUGUGCAUUGAGUCGGUGAUGCCAUCCAGCCAUCUCAUCCUCUGUCGUCCCUUUCUCCUCCUGCCCCCAACCCCUCCCAGCAUCAGGGUCUUUUCCAGUGAGUCA
Molecule: long non-coding RNA, 3384 nt
Filed under: Ovis aries (sheep)
Lineage: Eukaryota; Metazoa; Chordata; Mammalia; Artiodactyla; Bovidae
Description: lncRNA (ENSOARG00000025268.1)
Source: RNAcentral